This 2892-nucleotide ribosomal RNA is filed under the name Stenotrophomonas maltophilia. RNAcentral's name for it is "bacterial LSU rRNA". It matches the Rfam family "Bacterial large subunit ribosomal RNA". The record is from RNAcentral. Lineage: Bacteria; Pseudomonadati; Pseudomonadota; Gammaproteobacteria; Lysobacterales; Lysobacteraceae.
GUUAUAUGGUCAAGCGAAUAAGCGCACACGGUGGAUGCCUUGGCGGUCAGAGGCGAUGAAGGACGUGGCAGCCUGCGAAAAGUAUCGGGGAGCUGGCAACAAGCUUUGAUCCGGUAAUGUCCGAAUGGGGAAACCCACCCGCUUGCGGGUAUCCUGCAGUGAAUACAUAGCUGCUGGAAGCGAACCUGGUGAACUGAAAUAUCUAAGUAACCAGAGGAAAAGAAAUCAACCGAGAUUCCGUAAGUAGCGACGAGCGAACGCGGACUAGCCCUUAAGCUGGAUUGGUUCUAGGAAAACGCUCUGGAAAGAGCGGCCAUAGAAGGUGAUAGCCCUGUAUCUGAAAGGGCCAUUCCAGUGAAGACGAGUAGGGCGGGGCACGUGAAACCCUGUCUGAACAUGGGGGGACCAUCCUCCAAGGCUAAAUACUACUGACCGACCGAUAGUGAACCAGUACCGUGAGGGAAAGGCGAAAAGAACCCCGGAGAGGGGAGUGAAAUAGAACCUGAAACCGUGUGCGUACAAGCAGUAGGAGCUCCGCAAGGAGUGACUGCGUACCUUUUGUAUAAUGGGUCAGCGACUUACUGUUCGUGGCAAGCUUAACCGUAUAGGGGAGGCGAAGGGAAACCGAGUCUGAUAAGGGCGCAUAGUCGCGGGCAGUAGACCCGAAACCGGGUGAUCUAGUCAUGCCCAGGGUGAAGGUGCGGUAACACGCACUGGAGGCCCGAACCCACUCCCGUUGCAAAGGUAGGGGAUGAGGUGUGAUUAGGAGUGAAAAGCUAAUCGAACCCGGAGAUAGCUGGUUCUCCUCGAAAGCUAUUUAGGUAGCGCCUCAUAUGUAUCCUCUCGGGGGUAGAGCACUGUUAUGGCUAGGGGGUCAUCGCGACUUACCAAACCAUUGCAAACUCCGAAUACCGAGACGGACUGUAUGGGAGACACACGGCGGGUGCUAACGUCCGUCGUGAAAAGGGAAACAACCCAGACCCACAGCUAAGGUCCCAAAUUUUGUGCUAAGUGGAAAACCAUGUGGAAAGGCACAGACAGCCAGGAGGUUGGCUUAGAAGCAGCCACCCUUUAAAGAAAGCGUAAUAGCUCACUGGUCGAGUCGGUCUGCGGGGAAGAUUUAACGGGGCUAAGCACAGAACCGAAGCUUGGGGUGCAUACUUUGUAUGCGCGGUAGAGGAGCGUUCCGUAAGCCGUUGAAGGUGGAUUGAGAAGUCUGCUGGAGGUAUCGGAAGUGCGAAUGCUGACAUGAGUAACGAUAAUGCGGGUGAAAAACCCGCACGCCGAAAGCCCAAGGUUUCCUUGCGCAACGUUAAUCGGCGCAGGGUGAGUCGGCCCCUAAGGCGAGGACGAAAGUCGUAGUCGAUGGGAAGCAGGUUAAUAUUCCUGCACCUCGCGUAAGUGCGAUGGAGGGACGGAGAAGGUUAGGUGUACCAGGCGUUGGUUGUCCUGGGGAAAGGCGGUAGGUUUGGAUCUUUGGCAAAUCCGGGAUCCUCUAAGACCGAGCACCGAGACGAGCCUUUAUGGCGAAGUCACUGAUACCACGCUUCCAGGAAAAGCUCCUAAGCUUCAGCUUACGCAGACCGUACCGUAAACCGACACAGGUGGGUAGGAUGAGAAUUCUCAGGCGCUUGAGAGAACUCGGGUGAAGGAACUAGGCAACAUGGCACCGUAACUUCGGGAGAAGGUGCACCCUUUUUGGUGGCUCGUGCGAGCUAUAGCUGAAGAGGGUCGCAGUAACCAGGCCGCUGCGACUGUUUAUCAAAAACACAGCACUCUGCAAACACGAAAGUGGACGUAUAGGGUGUGACGCCUGCCCGGUGCUGGAAGGUUAAUUGAUGGGGUCAGCCGCAAGGCGAAGCUCUUGAUCGAAGCCCCAGUAAACGGCGGCCGUAACUAUAACGGUCCUAAGGUAGCGAAAUUCCUUGUCGGGUAAGUUCCGACCUGCACGAAUGGCGUAACGACAGCGGCGCUGUCUCCACCCGAGACUCAGUGAAAUUGAAAUCGCUGUGAAGAUGCAGCGUUCCCGUGGCAAGACGGAAAGACCCCGUGAACCUUUACUAUAGCUUUACACUGAACGUUGAGUUCGUCUGUGUAGGAUAGGUGGGAGGCUAUGAAACUGUGGCGCCAGCUGCAGUGGAGCCAUCCUUGAAAUACCACCCUGUCGUGCUUGACGUUCUAACCUGGGCCCAUUAUCUGGGUCGGGGACCGUGUAUGGUGGGUAGUUUGACUGGGGCGGUCUCCUCCUAAAGAGUAACGGAGGAGCUCGAAGGUACGCUCAGCGCGGUCGGACAUCGCGCACUGUGUGCAAAGGCAUAAGCGUGCUUGACUGCAAGAUCGACGGAUCAAGCAGGUAGGAAACUAGGACUUAGUGAUCCGGUGGUUCUGUAUGGAAGGGCCAUCGCUCAACGGAUAAAAGGUACUCCGGGGAUAACAGGCUGAUACCGCCCAAGAGUUCAUAUCGACGGCGGUGUUUGGCACCUCGAUGUCGGCUCAUCACAUCCUGGGGCUGUAGUCGGUCCCAAGGGUAUGGCUGUUCGCCAUUUAAAGUGGUACGCGAGCUGGGUUCAGAACGUCGUGAGACAGUUCGGUCCCUAUCUGCCAUGGGCGUUGGAGAUUUGAGAGGGGCUGCUCCUAGUACGAGAGGACCGGAGUGGACGAACCUCUGGUGUUCCGGUUGUCACGCCAGUGGCAUUGCCGGGUAGCUAUGUUCGGAAGCGAUAACCGCUGAAAGCAUCUAAGCGGGAAGCGCGCCUCAAGAUGAGAUCUCCCGGGGCACAAGCCCCCUGAAGGAACCAUGUAGACUACGUGGUUGAUAGGUCAGGUGUGUAAGUACAGCAAUGUAUUGAGCUAACUGAUACUAAUGAUCCGUGCGGCUUGACCAUAUAACCU